GAUGAACGCUGGCGGCGUGCUUAACACAUGCGAGUCGAACGGGAUCCAAGGGGUGCUUGCACUGUUUGGUGAGUGUGGCGAACGGGUGAGUAACACGUGAGUAACCUGUCCUUUUCUUUGGGAUAAGCAUUCGAAAGGGUGUUUAAUACCUUAUGUUCUGUCUGCCUAGCAUGGGGUGGGUGGGAAAGGCUUUGGCCGGAUUUGGGUGGGCUCGCGGUCUAUCAGCUUGUUGGUGGGGUGAUGGCUUACCAAGGCUUUGACGGGUAGCCGGCCUGAGAGGGAGGUCGGUCACAUUGGUGCUGAGACACGGUGCAGACGCCAGCGGGAGGCAGCAGUGGGGGAUGGUGGACAAGGGGAGAAAGCCAGAUGGAGCGACGCCGCGAGGGGGAUGCGGGCCUUGAGGUUGUAAGCUUCUGUGUCGCUGAACAAGUCAUGCCAGUGGGUGUGUGAAGGGAAGGGGUGAAUAAGCGCCGGCUAACUACGUG
RNAcentral lists this ribosomal RNA (485 nucleotides) under uncultured bacterium. RNAcentral describes it as "partial 16S ribosomal RNA". It matches the Rfam family "Bacterial small subunit ribosomal RNA", at positions 28 to 507 of the family's 1533-position model. The record is from RNAcentral.